This 484-nucleotide ribosomal RNA is filed under the name uncultured bacterium. RNAcentral describes it as "partial 16S ribosomal RNA". It matches the Rfam family "Bacterial small subunit ribosomal RNA", at positions 30 to 507 of the family's 1533-position model. The record is from RNAcentral.
AUUGAACGCUGGCGGCAUGCCUUACACAUGCAAGUCGAACGGCAGCACGGACUUCGGUCUGGUGGCGAGUGGCGAACGGGUGAGUAAUGUAUCGGAACGUACCUUUCAGUGGGGGAUAACGUAGCGAAAGUUACGCUAAUACCGCAUAUUCUGUGAGCAGGAAAGCAGGGGAUCGAAAGACCUUGCGCUGAUUGAGCGGCCGAUAUCAGAUUAGCUAGUUGGUGGGGUAAAGGCCUACCAAGGCGACGAUCAGUAGCGGGUCUGAGAGGAUGAUCCGCCACACUGGAACUGAGACACGGUCCAGACUCCUACGGGAGGCAGCAGUGGGGAAUUUUGGACAAUGGGGGCAACCCUGAUCCAGCCAUGCCGCGUGAGUGAAGAAGGCCUUCGGGUUGUAAAGCUCUUUCGGCCGGGAAGAAAUCGCAUAGGCUAAUACCCUGUGUGGAUGACGGUACCGGAAUAAGAAGCACCGGCUAACUACGUG